Molecule: ribosomal RNA, 255 nt
Filed under: uncultured bacterium
Lineage: Bacteria
Description: partial 16S ribosomal RNA
Rfam family: Bacterial small subunit ribosomal RNA
Source: RNAcentral
UACGAAGGGGGCUAGCGUUGCUCGGAAUCACUGGGCGUAAAGGGUGCGUAGGCGGGUCUUUUAAGUUAGGGGUGAAAUCCUGGAGCUCAACUCCAGAACUGCCUUUGAUACUGAGGAUCUUGAGUUCGGGAGAGGUGAGUGGAACUGCGAGUGUAGAGGUGAAAUUCGUAGAUAUUCGCAAGAACACCAGUGGCGAAGGCGGCUCACUGGCCCGUUACUGACGCUGAGGCUACGAAAGCGUGGGGGAGCAACAGG